This 429-nucleotide ribosomal RNA is filed under the name Chloroflexota bacterium. RNAcentral's name for it is "Chloroflexi bacterium partial 16S ribosomal RNA". It matches the Rfam family "Bacterial small subunit ribosomal RNA", at positions 355 to 776 of the family's 1533-position model. Lineage: Bacteria; Bacillati; Chloroflexota. The record is from RNAcentral.
UGGGGAAUAUUGCACAAUGGGCGCAAGCCUGAUGCAGCCAUGCCGCGUGUAUGAAGAAGGCCUUCGGGUUGUAAAGUACUUUCAGCGGGGAGGAAGGGAGUAAAGUUAAUACCUUUGCUCAUUGACGUUACCCGCAGAAGAAGCACCGGCUAACUCCGUGCCAGCAGCCGCGGUAAUACGGAGGGUGCAAGCGUUAAUCGGAAUUACUGGGCGUAAAGCGCACGCAGGCGGUUUGUUAAGUCAGAUGUGAAAUCCCCGGGCUCAACCUGGGAACGGGAUCGGAUACUGGCAGGCUUGAGUCUCGUAGAGGGGGGUAGAAUUCCAGGUGUAGCGGUGAAAUGCGUAGAGAUCUGGAGGAAAACCGGGGGCGAAGGCGGCCCCCUGGACGAAGACUGACGCUCAGGUGCGAAAGCGUGGGGAGCAAACAGG